UUAACUCAAAUUUGUAUGGAGUUGGAACGUUUGCCUACGUUUGCCACUAGGGGCGCUAUUCCAACUGCAUACAAUUUUGAGUUA
This 84-nucleotide microRNA precursor is filed under the name Bombyx mori (domestic silkworm). RNAcentral's name for it is "mir-2807 microRNA precursor family". It matches the Rfam family "mir-2807 microRNA precursor family". The record is from Rfam by way of RNAcentral. Lineage: Eukaryota; Metazoa; Arthropoda; Insecta; Lepidoptera; Bombycidae.